GAUGAACGCUGGCGGCGUGCCUAACACAUGCAAGUCGAACGAGAAAGUGGAGCAAUCCAUGAGUACAGUGGCGACCGGGUGAGUAACACGUGACUAACCUACCCUCGAGUGGGGGAUAACGCCGGGAAACCGGCGCUAAUACCGCAUAACAUCGCGAGGUGAAAUUCCUUGUUAUCAAAGGAGCAAUUCGCUUGAAGAGGGAGUCGCGUCUGAUUAGCUAGUUGGUGAGGUAACGGCCCACCAAGGCGAUGAUCAGUAGCCGGCCUGAGAGGGCGCACGGCCACACUGGAACUGAAACACGGUCCAGACUCCUAUGGGAGGCAGCAGUGGGGAAUUUUGCGCAAUGGGGGAAACCCUGACGCAGCAACGCCGCGUGGAGGAUGAAGUCCUUUGGGAUGUAAACUCCUUUCGACCGGGAAGAUAAUGACGGUACCGGAGGAAGAAGCACCGGCUAACUCUGUGCCAGCCGCCGCGGUAA
This 478-nucleotide ribosomal RNA is filed under the name uncultured bacterium. RNAcentral describes it as "partial 16S ribosomal RNA". It matches the Rfam family "Bacterial small subunit ribosomal RNA", at positions 28 to 523 of the family's 1533-position model. The record is from RNAcentral.